AACGAACGCUGGCGGCAUGCCUAACACAUGCAAGUCGAACGAGACCUUCGGGUCUAGUGGUGCACGGGUGUUUAACGCGUGGGAACCUGCCCUUAGGUUCGGAAUAACUUCCCGUAAGGGGUGCUCAUACCGGAUAAUGUCUUCGGACCAAAGAUUUAUCGCCUUUGGAUGGGCCCGCGUUGGAUUAGCUAGUUGGUAGGGUAAAAGCAUACCAAGGCGACGAUCCAUAGCUGGUCUGAGAGGAUGAUCAGCCACACUGGGACUGAGACACGGCCCAGACUCCUACGGGAGGCAGCAGUGGGGAAUAUUGGACAAUGGGCGAAAGCCUGAUCCAGCAAGGCCGGGAGAGUGAUGAAGGCAUUAGGGAAGUAAAGCUCGUUUACCCGAGAAGAUAAUGACAGUACCGGAAGAAUAAGCUCCGGCUAACUACGUG
RNAcentral lists this ribosomal RNA (433 nucleotides) under uncultured bacterium. RNAcentral's name for it is "partial 16S ribosomal RNA". It matches the Rfam family "Bacterial small subunit ribosomal RNA", at positions 29 to 507 of the family's 1533-position model. The record is from RNAcentral.